GGUUAAGCGACUAAGCGUACACGGUGGAUGCCCUGGCAGUCAGAGGCGAUGAAGGACGUGCUAAUCUGCGAUAAGCGUCGGUAAGGUGAUAUGAACCGUUAUAACCGGCGAUUUCCGAAUGGGGAAACCCAGUGUGAUUCGUCACACUAUCAUUAACUGAAUCCAUAGGUUAAUGAGGCGAACCGGGGGAACUGAAACAUCUAAGUACCCCGAGGAAAAGAAAUCAACCGAGAUUCCCCCAGUAGCGGCGAGCGAACGGGGAGCAGCCCAGAGCCUGAAUCAGUGUGUGUGUUAGUGGAAGCGUCUGGAAAGGCGCGCGAUACAGGGUGACAGCCCCGUACACAAAAAUGCACAUGCUGUGAGCUCGAUGAGUAGGGCGGGACACGUGGUAUCCUGUCUGAAUAUGGGGGGACCAUCCUCCAAGGCUAAAUACUCCUGACUGACCGAUAGUGAACCAGUACCGUGAGGGAAAGGCGAAAAGAACCCCGGCGAGGGGAGUGAAAAAGAACCUGAAACCGUGUACGUACAAGCAGUGGGAGCACGCUUAGGCGUGUGACUGCGUACCUUUUGUAUAAUGGGUCAGCGACUUAUAUUCUGUAGCAAGGUUAACCGAAUAGGGGAGCCGAAGGGAAACCGAGUCUUAACUGGGCGUUAAGUUGCAGGGUAUAGACCCGAAACCCGGUGAUCUAGCCAUGGGCAGGUUGAAGGUUGGGUAACACUAACUGGAGGACCGAACCGACUAAUGUUGAAAAAUUAGCGGAUGACUUGUGGCUGGGGGUGAAAGGCCAAUCAAACCGGGAGAUAGCUGGUUCUCCCCGAAAGCUAUUUAGGUAGCGCCUCGUGAAUUCAUCUCCGGGGGUAGAGCACUGUUUCGGCAAGGGGGUCAUCCCGACUUACCAACCCGAUGCAAACUGCGAAUACCGGAGAAUGUUAUCACGGGAGACACACGGCGGGUGCUAACGUCCGUCGUGAAGAGGGAAACAACCCAGACCGCCAGCUAAGGUCCCAAAGUCAUGGUUAAGUGGGAAACGAUGUGGGAAGGCCCAGACAGCCAGGAUGUUGGCUUAGAAGCAGCCAUCAUUUAAAGAAAGCGUAAUAGCUCACUGGUCGAGUCGGCCUGCGCGGAAGAUGUAACGGGGCUAAACCAUGCACCGAAGCUGCGGCAGCGACGCUUAUGCGUUGUUGGGUAGGGGAGCGUUCUGUAAGCCUGCGAAGGUGUGCUGUGAGGCAUGCUGGAGGUAUCAGAAGUGCGAAUGCUGACAUAAGUAACGAUAAAGCGGGUGAAAAGCCCGCUCGCCGGAAGACCAAGGGUUCCUGUCCAACGUUAAUCGGGGCAGGGUGAGUCGACCCCUAAGGCGAGGCCGAAAGGCGUAGUCGAUGGGAAACAGGUUAAUAUUCCUGUACUUGGUGUUACUGCGAAGGGGGGACGGAGAAGGCUAUGUUGGCCGGGCGACGGUUGUCCCGGUUUAAGCGUGUAGGCUGGUUUUCCAGGCAAAUCCGGAAAAUCAAGGCUGAGGCGUGAUGACGAGGCACUACGGUGCUGAAGCAACAAAUGCCCUGCUUCCAGGAAAAGCCUCUAAGCAUCAGGUAACAUCAAAUCGUACCCCAAACCGACACAGGUGGUCAGGUAGAGAAUACCAAGGCGCUUGAGAGAACUCGGGUGAAGGAACUAGGCAAAAUGGUGCCGUAACUUCGGGAGAAGGCACGCUGAUAUGUAGGUGAAGUCCCUUGCGGAUGGAGCUGAAAUCAGUCGAAGAUACCAGCUGGCUGCAACUGUUUAUUAAAAACACAGCACUGUGCAAACACGAAAGUGGACGUAUACGGUGUGACGCCUGCCCGGUGCCGGAAGGUUAAUUGAUGGGGUCAGCGCAAGCGAAGCUCUUGAUCGAAGCCCCGGUAAACGGCGGCCGUAACUAUAACGGUCCUAAGGUAGCGAAAUUCCUUGUCGGGUAAGUUCCGACCUGCACGAAUGGCGUAAUGAUGGCCAGGCUGUCUCCACCCGAGACUCAGUGAAAUUGAACUCGCUGUGAAGAUGCAGUGUACCCGCGGCAAGACGGAAAGACCCCGUGAACCUUUACUAUAGCUUGACACUGAACAUUGAGCCUUGAUGUGUAGGAUAGGUGGGAGGCUUUGAAGUGUGGACGCCAGUCUGCAUGGAGCCGACCUUGAAAUACCACCCUUUAAUGUUUGAU
RNAcentral lists this ribosomal RNA (2192 nucleotides) under Escherichia coli. Its description in RNAcentral is "partial 23S ribosomal RNA". It matches the Rfam family "Bacterial large subunit ribosomal RNA", at positions 1 to 2218 of the family's 2925-position model. The record is from RNAcentral. Lineage: Bacteria; Pseudomonadati; Pseudomonadota; Gammaproteobacteria; Enterobacterales; Enterobacteriaceae.